Molecule: long non-coding RNA, 459 nt
Filed under: Cyanistes caeruleus (blue tit)
Lineage: Eukaryota; Metazoa; Chordata; Aves; Passeriformes; Paridae
Description: lncRNA (ENSCCEG00000015307.1)
Source: RNAcentral
CUGGCCACUAAUGCUCAAGAAGUCUGUUCUUGAGAAACAGUCUUACACUUCUUGUAACAGAAGUGGCAGUCCAAGGGUCUGAGUCUCACAAGUGAAAGUAUGGCUUGCUGAAGAGCACAGCGGUCUUGUGGCCAGGAAAUGGUGUUUUUUCAUGGUGUGAAACACGUGGCUGAUAGCUCAGCUAAAAGAAAAUGGCUUUGCAUUGAGAGGGGCGUUGACACUCCAUGGUGGCGCUGUCUUACACAGUCUUCCUUUCUGGGAAAGCGCUUCUGUCCACUGGCCUGAAAGAUUAAGAAGGGAACCUCAUAUGCCUUUGUAAUCUGAAAGAAAGAGACUUACAUGAGAACAGAUAUAAUAUACUUGCCAGUAACUUUUAAAUUUUGCUGAGGCUUCCUGCUUCCUUUCUAACAUGUAAAAAUGUGGCUUACUUGUAAGCAGUUCAUGGUGAGAAAAUUUAAG